UCCAUGCAUGGUGGCACAUUCCUGUAGUACUAGCUACUCGGGAGGCUGAAGUGGGAGAAUCUAUUGAGCCCAGGAAUUCUGGGCUAUAGUGCGCAAUCUCAAUAGGGUGUCCGCACUAAGUUCGGCAUUAAUAUAGUGACCUCCGAGGAGCUGGGGACCACCAGGUUGUCUAAGGAUGGGUGAACCAGCCGGAUAGGAAACAAAGCAGGUCAAAUCUCCCAUACUGAUUAGUAGUGGGAUCACGCCUGUGAAUAGCCACUGCACUCUAUCCUGGGCAACAAAGCGAGAGACACCCCGUCC
RNAcentral lists this signal recognition particle RNA (300 nucleotides) under Cebus imitator (Panamanian white-faced capuchin). RNAcentral describes it as "Metazoan signal recognition particle RNA (ENSCCAG00000010157.1)". It matches the Rfam family "Metazoan signal recognition particle RNA". From Rfam's summary of the family: The signal recognition particle (SRP) is a universally conserved ribonucleoprotein. It is involved in the co-translational targeting of proteins to membranes. The eukaryotic SRP consists of a 300-nucleotide 7S RNA and six proteins: SRPs 72, 68, 54, 19, 14, and 9. Lineage: Eukaryota; Metazoa; Chordata; Mammalia; Primates; Cebidae. The record is from RNAcentral.